This 442-nucleotide long non-coding RNA is filed under the name Parus major (Great Tit). RNAcentral describes it as "lncRNA (ENSPMJG00000007799.1)". Lineage: Eukaryota; Metazoa; Chordata; Aves; Passeriformes; Paridae. The record is from RNAcentral.
GCCACGGGCAGCUCAGACACAGCGAGCCACCCAUCUCUUUCCUUGGAAAAGAUCAGGUUUUGGCUCGUUUGGCUCCCUAACCUGUCUCGAAGCUGGCUGUGGGAGCUGAAGGGAUGCAGGGCCAAGGGGCAGAGGAGAGCAGCAGUGUCCCCGCCUUGUCCCUGGCCUCAGCGUGGCGGCAAUGUGGCAGUGAGAGAUGCUGGAAGAAAAGCGGUGUCUGACAGCACUGUCCCCAGGCUUAGAGAGGGCGUUUAGCCUAACUUUUCAUUUGGGAUCAGCUCAGGCAUCGCACACAGGUUCUAUCUGGGUUUUCAGCAUCCAGUUCCCUUGGCUGACUUGUCAGAAAAGCAGCAAGAUGCAAAAUAUUUGUAAAGGACACCCUCGCUGUUUCCCAGCAUGUUUCCGUCAAUACUGAAGGACCAUGUGGCGUGACUGCUGCCCA